Long non-coding RNA from Rhea pennata, 3293 nucleotides. RefSeq lists it as uncharacterized. The transcript is spliced from 4 exons. Lineage: Eukaryota; Metazoa; Chordata; Aves; Rheiformes; Rheidae. The record is from RefSeq and is a predicted model, not a curated record.
AAGGCGGGUGUGAACCAAGGCUGGCCCUCGCGGGUGGGUGCCCACUGGGAGCAGGACAUGCUGCAGGAUGAGGUCUCCUGUGGGAUGGAGGAGGAGGAACAGCAGGAGUCCUGUGGCUGGGGCCAGAUCCGGCCUGGCCACGCCAACAGCCCCAAGAGGACAGUAGUUGUGCAGGUGUCGUUUGAACACUAACAGAUCGCGGCAAGGAGGACGGACGGACGGACAGCGUGGUGGUUCCACACUUUGGCGACUGGCAGGCUACAUUUUACAGAUGGGUUUGGAGAUCAUGACACCCUGACCCCUAAGGCAGGAUGAAUUUUGCCACUGUUUUGAAGUGAAACCUGAAAUGUGCCCUUCCGUGCAAGCCAUGUCCCUGGAGGAAACGCGACGGCAGCAUUAAACCAGCGUGAUGAGGCAGCAGAGGCCGCAGGAGGCAGAUUGUGAUUGUUCCGACUGGGGAACGUGCUAUUAAAAACAUCCCCCUGUGACACCGUGCUCAGAAACACCUCUGGAGCCAGACACAGCUGCUGCAUCUCCACAUUCGACGUCUCGGCUGCAUCGCAGGCACUUCCAAACGCCAGAAGAGAUAAGACAACAUUGGAGCUGGCAAUUUUUGAAAGAUUUUUUUUCUGCUUUUUAAGACUAAAGCCAUUUCUGAGCCCCCGGUGCCAGACAGAGAGACCAAAGUUUGUGGAAAAGCAAACAUAUGAAACAAAAAUUUAGUCCUGAUGUGCACCUGGUGUGCCGUUCCUUGAAAAAAUGCCAAAUCAAGGGCCAGACUGACACUGUUUUAAGACAUAACUUGCCAGACUAUGGAUAUUUUGGAAGGGAGUCACUUGACACGGAAGGAGACCAUCGGCAUCACCCAGCACUUGGGACUGAGCCGGCACCGACCCGAAGCCAGCUGUAACUGGACCUUGCGCUCCAGAGCUCAGGAAUCUUGUUCCCUUUCUAAGGCCACAGAUGGAAAAUGAGGAAAUGGGGUCAAAAAAGGGCCUGUCAAAGCAGAGGGAGGAGCAACUGCGUUUUCAUGAAUCAUAAACGCUCCCAGCUUCUCAGAUUCACAUUUUUCAAGCGUUCAGCCUCAAAAGAAAGGAGUUCCCAGGCAGCAAGGGCACAGGGUCAGUGCAGAGAACCCAGGGAAGGGAAAACAUGGGAUAAAUCCCUGACCUCCCAGCCCUGCCAUGGGAGAGGAUGCUGGUGAGACAAGCCGUGGAAGAGGAAGCACAACCAUCAGGGCAAAGUUUGUGGGAAAAGCUGUUGUCGGGCAUCCCAGCAGCCGUGGAGGGUCGCUGCCGCCAGCAGGGAAGGGCAGCGACACGAUUUUCUUGCAUUUUCCAGCAGCACCAAGCGGCGGCUUGAGAUUUUUCUGACCGAAAAAUAUGACGGUGCGUUUGAGACGCGGGUGAGCUCCCAGGGACUGUGUUCCUGAGAGGGACCCGCUCGGCCCCCCUCAAAAAUCCCUCAGGUCUCCCGGUGGCCGCCGGACGGCCCCGCCACCACUGUCCCUGGGAGCAUUUCAGUGCUGGAGUCCAAAGUAAACGAACGUGAUUUAUGCAUCGACAUCCCCGGCAGCAGCAGACCGUGUCCGCUAGGAGCGGCUUCCCACGCUGCUGCUUUUCCGACUCAGCUGCUCUCCGGGAAGUGCGGGAGAAACCGCGCUGGCCCCUCCUGGCGUUCGCUCCGGUUUUACAGUAUCGUUUCCUAAAAGGCUCGUAAUCAGCUGGGAGAGAUGUCGAGAAAUAAUUAAGCCAAGCAGCAAAUUGAGUGCCAAACACCGUAAUUCCUUGGCACAAGCCCCUGCUCCAGCUAUAAUUAGCAUUUCCUGGCAAUGCUGUUAAUUAAACCAGGGCCGUGUCCGCGUGACAUGUUUCCAGGGCCGCUGACCACAGAGCCAACUUGCCGUUGAAUUUCCAGGGGACCUGGAUUAAUUUCCCGGGACCGGGGGCUCUCCCUGAAUCUGAGCGCGGGAACAGCCCACACGAACCUCCAUGGUGCGAGGCAGCUGGAGCCCUGGGAGCAAGACGACGCUGUAAAAACUUCGCAUAACCCUGCAAACUGCCCCGGUUCUGGCCGCCUCUGAUAAAUUAAUUUCUCCACACUCUUUUUUCCGCCCCCGGGAUAACGGCAGGUGCCAUCGCAGUUAACAGCGGUAGGAGCCGCUGCCUCCAGUUCGACGCUGUUAAAAUCACCUGCGUCUCAACGGGGACGUCUCCUGGGGACGAGCUGGCACCGUGGGCGGAACACCCUGACGGCGCCAGGUCCUUUUCUCAAAAAUAACAGAAAAUAACAAAUAGAAAAGGUCUCCAGGGGCAGAUUCAGGUUUACGGAGAUGCAGAGGUUUGCGCCGAGGCCCUUUUGCGCUGCUGGGGACACGGUGGGACAGCCCUCACCCCGCGAGCCCUGUGCGGGCACCGGGAAUUUUCUGCGGAGAUGGAAGUUUUUGGGGCUGUGCAGCCCGUCUCGCCUCAACGCCUGGAACCGCAGCCCUUUCCCACAGAUUUUGGACCUUAGAGAUGCUCCAGCAAGCGGCAUGAAAACAAGCGGCCGGCAGCAGAGGGAGAUCCACGCCGGACCGUUUCCCCGGCAAGGAUGUACCCCGAUGCUGGAUAUAAAACAUCCCCCUCCGUAAGGGAUUAACACACGGAUAACAGCGCGCCUUGGGGCAUCUGCCACCUUUAUUGAGCUGUGCCGCAGCCACGACCGCUCCCCGCCCGAGCGUCACUUGGCUGCUGCCUCAUCCCGCCGUGCGUCCGCGGUCGGCGGCGCCGCGUCACCGGCCCGAGGCGCCCGGCGGCGGCAGCUCUUUCUCCGCUCGCUCGAUUUGCUCCUCCGUCAGCACCACGGGCUUGUACUUCUCCUCGAAGAGCUUCUCGUUGGCCUCGGAGUGGAGGUGGUGGAAGGAGACGGCGCGGAGGUGCUCGGGGAGGAACCUGAACUCCUCCUCGUUGAUGUCGCAGUCCCUCAUCUUGGCGUGCAGAACCCACCAGCGGCCGCAGAAGCCCACGUCGAGGACGCGGCCCGGGAGCUCGCGCCAGCGGGGCUGCAGGUAGCGGCACCGCGCCGCGUAGAGCCCGGCCUGGGCGUCGAACGGCGCCUCGUACACCACGGCGAGGAGCACGAGGUCGCGGUAGCGCAGCCGCCCGCCGUCCCGCAGCCGCAGCAGGUGCUGCACGUGCCCCUCGGCGACGCCGCUGCGGGUCCGGGGCGAGAGCAGCAGCAGGGAGCCGGCGGCCUCCAGCAGAGCCGCCUCGAAGGUGCCGGCGCCGGGGACGGCAGCGCCGCAGGCGGCC